This is a long non-coding RNA of Vicia villosa (hairy vetch), 836 nucleotides long. RefSeq lists it as uncharacterized. NCBI's taxonomy places the organism in Eukaryota, Viridiplantae, Streptophyta, Magnoliopsida, Fabales, Fabaceae. The record is from RefSeq and is a predicted model, not a curated record. The transcript is spliced from 3 exons.
CUUCAAGAUCAAAACGUCGGUACAACCACUACAAGAAAAAGGUUGUUUAGCUAGGAGAAUCUGUGAGGUGGUUAACCCCUCACUAAAUUUUGACAUUGCUUGGUAGUUACCCCGUCGCAAACCUCAAAUCAGAAAACAAAAUUAAAAAAACAAUUAGUGAGGGGGUUCCCCUCGCAAAAUAAAAAGAGGGAUUUUUGAAUUUUGAAAAUUUUUACCGCUUUGCAAUCAGUGAGGGGGUACCCCUCACAAAUUCUGACUUCGCAAUCAGUGAGGGGCUGCCCCUCGCAAAUGCUGACCAAUUGUCCCAUCACUCAUUUCUUGUGCAGCGUGUCAGUUGGUCUUAAAAAAUGUUUACAAUUUGUGAAGGGCUUCCCCCCCCCCCCCCCCAACCAAUUGCACAAUAUAAUUAUCCACUUCUCUUCACUUUCUCCCAUCCACUUCACUUUCUUCAAUUUCUCCCAUCUUCAUAUUAUUUCUUCUCCAUUUCUCCCAUCUUCAUAUCCUUUCUUCUCUCUAUUAUCAUUUCCUCCCAGUAAACACUUAAAAACUAUUUAUAUCAUCCAAAGCAACCAAAAAGUUCAAAUCUAUAUUGUUGUGUGUUCAUCCAAGCCACCUCACUGUAUCACGGAAGACAGUAUCCUUCAAUGAAGCAUUGGUAACAUGAAAGAGAGAACAUAUCUUUUGGACUAGAUUGUGUGGGGCUCAAUGUUUGUGGCUUGCAUAUCUUAGCAAUUGUGACAACUCUUACGAACAAUAUCCAAGUAAUUUUGUAAGAGAUCAAUAUAAUUGAAUGAUAUUUAUAUUUAUGAAUUGAAUUUAUCUUCAAGAGUCGUGCC